Molecule: long non-coding RNA, 431 nt
Organism: Prionailurus viverrinus (fishing cat)
Lineage: Eukaryota; Metazoa; Chordata; Mammalia; Carnivora; Felidae
Exons: 3
Source: RefSeq, a predicted model, not a curated record
UUGGGGGACGUGAUCUCAAAAGUCGGCACCUGCGUGGCCAGCGAGUAGUGGAAGUCCACUGGAGAAAGGCGCGCGGGCGUGGAAAUGGAGCGGCUGUCAGGGGAAGAAGGAAUGCAAUUGUGGCCAUAGGCUCUGUUUCCAUGGACUCUGCAAAAGCUAACUAGGCAAACCAGAAAGCUCCAACCUCACAAGUGGAAGAAAGGAAGGAAUGGAGUCCUGGAUGGGGACUCAGACCAGAGAGGGCCUGGAGAGAAUCACCAAUCAUCCCUUGAAUCCUCAUUUCCUCUUUUAGUAGGCAGCAAACCCCCAUCCCACCCUAUCCUUGAGCCACAUAAAUGUCUCUGGCCUCUGGCCUCUGUGGAAACCCGUGCCCUGGGGCUUGUUCUCCCUCAGCAUCCCCUUCCCCACUCUCCCCCAUCGCCCCAAGUCAA